AUGCAUACUUUCCGUAGGUUCGAGGAUAAGUCUGAUGCCAUCAACCUCACCACCAGGCGAGUAGGCCCCCGAAUGAUCUCACUGAUCUGCAAGUACUGCCUCCUUGGAGAACUAAUCAUUGUUGGAAGCCUUGAAUAUAAAUCAAUUCUCGAAGAGAAUCUGAGGCGAGCCUGUUCGUACAAUGACAUAGUGAGGGAGAUUAUGUGGGGUAUGCAGAAUCUCAUGCCUCUUUUAAUCCCUCAAGAACAAUCUGUGUUCACAAAAGCGGACCGGCUCCUCAUAUGCAAAGGAUUGGAUAUGCUUUUAUCUUGA
RNAcentral lists this ribosomal RNA (312 nucleotides) under Triticum aestivum (bread wheat). RNAcentral describes it as "partial small subunit ribosomal RNA". The record is from RNAcentral. Lineage: Eukaryota; Viridiplantae; Streptophyta; Magnoliopsida; Poales; Poaceae.